Monopterus albus (swamp eel) is the source of this 279-nucleotide long non-coding RNA. RefSeq lists it as uncharacterized. The transcript has 3 exons. Lineage: Eukaryota; Metazoa; Chordata; Actinopteri; Synbranchiformes; Synbranchidae. The record is from RefSeq and is a predicted model, not a curated record.
CAGCUCCAGAAGUUUUAAGCGGGGGUCCACACUGCUGACUGGUGGUCUCUUGGAAUUAUGCUGUUUGCAUUGGUGACAGGAGAGUUUCCAGUACCUGCAGAGACAGACCACUGUACCAUGUUGAAGAAGGUCAGAGAUUUUCCUUACGUCUUACCCAACACCCUCAGCUCUGCUCUGCUGUUACUGCUCACUGAGCUUUUGUGCAAGAGCCCAAUGAACCGGCUUCGUCGUCCAUCCAUCCAUCCAUUUUCUUCCGUUUAUCUGGGACCGGGUCGCGGG